RNAcentral lists this ribosomal RNA (533 nucleotides) under uncultured euryarchaeote. Its description in RNAcentral is "bacterial SSU rRNA". It matches the Rfam family "Archaeal small subunit ribosomal RNA", at positions 172 to 704 of the family's 1478-position model. Lineage: Archaea; Methanobacteriati; Methanobacteriota. The record is from RNAcentral.
GAAGGGCAUCGAGAUUCCCUAGCCUCCGGCGCUCAAGGAUGGAUCUGCGGCCUAUCAGGUAGUAGUGGGUGUAGCGUACCUACUAACCUACGACGGGUGCGGCUUGUGAGAGCAAGAGCCCGGAGAUGGAUUCUGAGACACGAAUCCAGGCCCUACGGGGUGCAGCAGGCGCGAAAACUUUACAAUGCUGGAAACAGCGAUAAGGGGACCUCGAGUGCCAGGUUACAAAUCUGGCUGUCGUGAUGCCUAAAAAGCAUUGCAUAGCAAGGGCCGGGCAAGACCGGUGCCAGCCGCCGCGGUAACACCGGCGGCUCGAGUGGUAACCGUUAUUAUUGGGUCUAAAGGGUCUGUAGCCGGCCGGAUAAGUCUCUUGGGAAAUCUGGCAGCUUAACUGCCAGGCUUUCAGGAGAUACUGUCUGGCUCGAGGCCGGGAGAGGUGAGAGGUACUUCAGGGGUAGGGGUGAAAUCUUGUAAUCCUUGAAGGACCACCAGUGGCGAAGGCGUCUCACCAGAACGGACCUGACGGCAAGGGU